CAGUAGCCGCGGUAAAACGAAGGGUGCAAGCGUUAAUCGGAAUUACUGGGCGUAAAGCGUGCGUAGGCGGUGAGUUAAGUCUGCUGUGAAAUCCCCGGGCUCAACCUGGGAAUGGCAGUGGAUACUGGCUCGCUAGAGUGUGUCAGAGGAUGGUGGAAUUCCCGGUGUAGCAGUGAAAUGCGUAGAGAUCGGAAGGAACAUCUGUGGCGAAGGCGGCUAUCUGGGCCAACACUGACACUGAGGCACGAAAGCGUGGGGAGCAAACAGGAUUAGAUACCCCAGUAGUCCCUGUCUCUUAUAC
Molecule: ribosomal RNA, 301 nt
Filed under: uncultured bacterium
Lineage: Bacteria
Description: partial 16S ribosomal RNA
Rfam family: Bacterial small subunit ribosomal RNA
Source: RNAcentral